Molecule: ribosomal RNA, 752 nt
Filed under: uncultured Campylobacterales bacterium
Lineage: Bacteria; Pseudomonadati; Campylobacterota; Epsilonproteobacteria; Campylobacterales
Description: bacterial SSU rRNA
Rfam family: Bacterial small subunit ribosomal RNA
Source: RNAcentral
GUCGAACGAGAACGGGUUAUAGCUUGCUAUAAUUGUCAGCUAAGUGGCGCACGGGUGAGUAAUGUAUAGGUAAUAUGCCUUUUACUAAGGGAUAACAGAUGGAAACGUUUGCUAAUACCUUAUACUCCGUUUAUGUAUAAAUGUAAAUGGGAAAGAUUUAUCGGUAAGAGAUUGGCCUGUAUUGUAUCAGUUAGUUGGUGGGGUAAUGGCCUACCAAGACAAUGACGCAUAACUGGUUUGAGAGGAUGAUCAGUCACACUGGAACUGAGACACGGUCCAGACUCCUACGGGAGGCAGCAGUGGGGAAUAUUGCACAAUGGACGGAAGUCUGAUGCAGCAACGCCGCGUGGAGGAUGACACAUUUCGGUGCGUAAACUCCUUUUAUAUAAGAAGAUAAUGACGGUAAUAUAUGAAUAAGCACCGGCUAACUCCGUGCCAGCAGCCGCGGUAAUACGGGGGGUGCAAGCGUUACUCGGAAUCACUGGGCGUAAAGAGCAUGUAGGCGGAUUGAUAAGUUUGAAGUGAAAUCCUAUAGCUUAACUAUAGAACUGCUUUGAAAACUGUUAAUCUAGAAUGUGGGAGAGGUAGAUGGAAUUUCUGGUGUAGGGGUAAAAUCCGUAGAGAUCAGAAGGAAUACCGAUUGCGAAGGCGAUCUACUAGAACACUAUUGACGCUGAGAUGCGAAAGCGUGGGGAGCAAACAGGAUUAGAUACCCUGGUAGUCCACGCCCUAAACGAUGUACACAAGUUGUU